CCUACGGGAGGCAGCAGUAGGGAAUAUUGCUCAAUGGGCGAAACCCUGAACCAGCAACGCCGCGUGGAGGAUGACGGCCUUCCGAUUGUAAACUCCCUUUUUCAGAGAAGCUAAUGACGGUAUCUAUCGAAUAAGCACAGGACAAAGACGAGCCAACAGCCGCGGUAAUAAGGCGGGUGCAAGCGUUACUCGGAAUCAAUGGGCGUAAAGGGGGCGUAGGGGGGAUAGCAAGUUCGGUGUGAAAUCCUAUGGGCUAAACCUAGAACUGCAUUUGAAACUGGUUUUCUAGAGUUGGGGAGAGGUAGGUGGAAUUCGUGGUGUAGGGGUGAAAUGCGUAGAGAUCAAGAGGAACACUGAUUGCGAAGGCGACCUGCUGGAACAUAACUGACGCUGAUGCGCGAAAGCGUGGGGAGCGAACAGGAUUAGAUACCCUAGUAGUC
Molecule: ribosomal RNA, 440 nt
Filed under: uncultured bacterium
Lineage: Bacteria
Description: partial 16S ribosomal RNA
Rfam family: Bacterial small subunit ribosomal RNA
Source: RNAcentral